This 17-nucleotide small RNA is filed under the name Arabidopsis thaliana (thale cress). Its description in RNAcentral is "ATSL109390". The record is from RNAcentral. Lineage: Eukaryota; Viridiplantae; Streptophyta; Magnoliopsida; Brassicales; Brassicaceae.
AAAAUGACAUAUAUAAC